GAUUCCGUAGUGUAGCGGUUAUCACGUUCGCCUAACACGCGAAAGGUCCCCGGUUCGAACCCGGGCGGAAUCA
RNAcentral lists this transfer RNA (73 nucleotides) under Patiria miniata (bat star). Its description in RNAcentral is "tRNA-Val". It matches the Rfam family "tRNA". From Rfam's summary of the family: Transfer RNA (tRNA) molecules are approximately 80 nucleotides in length. Their secondary structure includes four short double-helical elements and three loops (D, anti-codon, and T loops). The record is from Rfam by way of RNAcentral. Lineage: Eukaryota; Metazoa; Echinodermata; Asteroidea; Valvatida; Asterinidae.